This is a long non-coding RNA of Trachemys scripta elegans, 440 nucleotides long. RefSeq lists it as uncharacterized. The record is from RefSeq and is a predicted model, not a curated record. Lineage: Eukaryota; Metazoa; Chordata; Testudines; Emydidae. The transcript has 3 exons.
GCUGUGGGGCUGCCGGUGGGACCCGCGGGGGCGGGGACCGGGGCUGGUCCCGUCCCCAGGCAGCGCGGCUGCAGCCCGGGGUGGAGCUGCGGGGCUCGGCCCAGGAAGGGGCUGGAGCAGCCGGGGCGGAAGCAGGGAAAACAAAGCACAGAAACAAGGGGGGGGGACAGCUCCGGGCGGUGCAGUACAAGCCGCUGCUCCCCCGGGGAUCCGUGUGUGUGCUUGGGGGGGGGGCAUUAACCCCUCCCUGCCCGGCGUGGGGGGGGGGGACUUUCUCCAGCUGGGACCCGCCCCCUGGGGCAGCCCCGGAGCCAGAGGCUGCAGUUCAUCCCAGCCUCCCGUGGGACAGGGAAGGGAAAUGGCUGCAGUGGAGCCCGUCCAGGGGCCGGUGACCUUCGAGGAGGUGGCUGUGUAUUUCACCAGAGAAGAGUGGGCUCUGC